GUUAGGCACCAGCUCUGUGCCUCCAUCAUGCAGAGGAAGGCAUGAUCACAUGCCGAUGAAAAACAUAAGCACCUGCAAAUGUGGGAUUGUGAGAACUGCAGGCCACCAGCAGGAGCAGGUGGCCAGCCUGGAAACAAAGACCCUGUUUAGAACUCAACAAAGGCCCAAAGGGUACUGUGUGGCAGGCUAACUCUUGGAUGCUUGUGCCUCACCCCUGAUUGAAUCUUGGCUUCAGAAUCUUUGAUGCUUCAUUGAGAAGGCAUAACGGAUAAAAUGGACAUUAGAACCUGGAAGGACCAGAACAGAACUUUUAUGCAAACUGUUCCUUUUUACUGAGAAAUUUAUUUGCCUAAUUUGGAUUUGUGUAUAUACACAAAAGGACAUAUAUAAAAGGGAAAAUAGCUUUCUGGAGAAACUGACUGCUAGAGAAUUCUA
Molecule: long non-coding RNA, 435 nt
Organism: Talpa occidentalis (Iberian mole)
Lineage: Eukaryota; Metazoa; Chordata; Mammalia; Eulipotyphla; Talpidae
Exons: 3
Source: RefSeq, a predicted model, not a curated record